CAAUCGAUUAGCAGAAGGCAAAAGCUGUGUCUUGUCUGAAGAUAUGGAAUUUAGACCAAGGUUGAAACAUGGUCCCUGCGCACAGAGAACCAGCAAGAUCACGGCACAGAUUUGAAAGAAACUGAGUAUGAUAUGGGACAUUGUGUAUUUAUAUUCUGAUUGUGUGGCCUUGGCUAUAAAGGAACAAUUCAAAGAAAGGCAAGGUCAGUGUGAAAUGAAAUAGGGACAGCUCUGUGAAGGAGGUGGGAUUAACAGGGCAUCCUUGAAUGCAAAAAAGAAUGACAAAAUCUUAGGCUUCUGAUUACUUGACACAGUUUUGACCUUAGCUUUAGUGCCCGGUUAUCUUUUCUUCAGGGAAGAGAACCGAUCCCAGGGCUUCACUUGCUAAUUAGAUUUUUAUUCCUAAACCACUGCUUAUACUCUAAACUUUUCCCUGUUUUUAUCUUUUUGGUCUUGGUGCUGGUCACCAUAAACCUGAGGUGGCUGAGUUCAAUGAUUCAUACAAAGACAUUACUUUGAUGAGAUUAGUGGUUUUUCACUGUAAAAAUCUAAGUUUACAUCAGAUCCUCAGGCUCAUCAAAUUAACAAGGCACUCCUUUGGGGGCCGGCUGUCAUGAUCACUCCAGUUCUUAAAGAGCUAUCUGAAUCCUUUCUGCCUAGAUGAACAGAGAGAAGAGAGAAGCAUCUGGCUCCUUUUUCUGGGAUUAUGGUGAUGCUGUUGGUUCUUUUGAAAAGGAAGAAUACGUCUAUGCUGGAUGCAAAUUCAAUAAUGUGUGUGCACCACAAGCUAACAAACAAAGGCCAGGGGUCAUUUCUCAGCCACAAUUUGUGCUGGAGCAAAAGAAAACAUUCUGCCCUUGAACAAAGUCCCAAACAGUGUGAAAGUGAGAACUACUUGGGAGAAAGCAUUUCCAUCCUAUGACUAUGACCAAUUUGAAAUAAAAAUUUCAGAAUCAUAAUAGUGACUCUACCAUAAUUUUCUGUAACAAAACUUCUAUUACAACAGAUACAGGAAAUACAAUAAAAGUCCUAUUGUUUCCAAAAUGGAUUAUAACUGAAACAGGGUAAUUGUAGAAAUAUUUGUGUAAGAAUUGCACAUUCAGCAGCACUAUUGAAAAAUCAUUCUUCUCAGAAAAUAAGUCUUAACAGAUACAGAAGAACUCUCCAGGGAGAUCUGAAAUGGAAGA
This is a long non-coding RNA of Manis javanica (Malayan pangolin), 1187 nucleotides long. RefSeq lists it as uncharacterized. The record is from RefSeq and is a predicted model, not a curated record. Lineage: Eukaryota; Metazoa; Chordata; Mammalia; Pholidota; Manidae.